Molecule: unclassified non-coding RNA, 348 nt
Filed under: soil metagenome
Description: partial contains 5.8S ribosomal RNA, internal transcribed spacer 2, and large subunit ribosomal RNA
Rfam family: 5.8S ribosomal RNA (bases 1-120)
Source: RNAcentral
GAUGAAGAACGUAGCGAAAUGCGAUAAGUAAUGUGAAUUGCAGAAUUCAGUGAAUCAUCGAAUCUUUGAACGCACAUUGCGCCCGCCAGUAUUCUGGCGGGCAUGCCUGUCCGAGCGUCAUUUCAACCCUCGAACCCCUCCGGGGGGUCGGCGUUGGGGAUCGGCACUUACCUGCCGGCCCCGAAAUACAGUGGCGGUCUCGCCGCGGCCUCUCCUGCGCAGUAGUUUGCACACUCGCACCGGGAGCGCGGCGCGUCCACGGCCGUAAAACAACCCAAACUUCUGAAAUGUUGACCUCGGAUCAGGUAGGAAUACCCGCUGAACUUAAGCAUAUCAAUAAGCGGAGGA